Molecule: long non-coding RNA, 1147 nt
Organism: Pseudopipra pipra
Lineage: Eukaryota; Metazoa; Chordata; Aves; Passeriformes; Pipridae
Exons: 2
Source: RefSeq, a predicted model, not a curated record
AAAAAGGACACAGAGCUGGAACAUGGAAUAUUUAGAGCACCUAUAGAACUAGGACCCUGCCAUGUGCUUUUGAAGCACUGCAUACAUAACAGCCUCAUAAGAUACCUGAGAUGUGGAUUUUUAAGUUAGUGAAUUCAUACUGUUUUAUAGGAGAGAAAGGACUGUGAGGCAUGAAAUAGGACUAAAAUUCAUGAUAAAUGAUACUCUAUGUCAUAGUUUGAGCCACUUCCCCCUGGGCUGGGAGCUAGAGGUGGUUGGUCCCAGGAGAGUUUCCCCUGAGUGACCAAUCCCAGCUGUUCUUUUUCGCUCCUGUGAAAUUAGAUAUUCACAACAGCUGGAAGUUGUUGGGAGAGUGUGAGUGAGAGUUUGUGUGAGAGAAAGAGGCCGAGGGGUAGACGGGGCCCCCCGAACCCAGGGGGGUCCCUGUACCCCCACGGCCCUGGCUCAGCCAGGGCUGGAGGCAGCAUGUAGGAGUGUGUGUGUGUGUUGUGAGGGAGAGACUCACAACCAUGAGGUGAGAGGGGGGAGGUCUCCAGUCCCUUACAGGGGGGCUGGGCCCUCUUCCUCCCUCUAGCUAGACUGCAGGGCUUGGGACAAUUUAUAACUGGUCUGAGUACCCUGUGGCCAAAGUGAGGGGGCUCAUUUUGUUCCCCCACUGCCCAGGGAGGCGGUGGUGUGGACUCAAGGCAGGCGAGGCAUUGGAGCCAAGUCAAGAGACAGGUCAGGAGGCUUGGUUGCCUUGAGAAACAGUUGCUAUUUGUUGCAAAAGCUGGAAGAACUCCAGGCAGAAAUGGGAGACGGGCCACAGGGCUCAGAGAUGCUGACGUUGGGUUUGGACGUGGACUACCUAAACUGAAAGCUGCAGCUGCUAAGGAAGAGGAAGAGAGCCAAACGAGCAGGAUUUUCUGGCUCAGGAUGACACCUCAGCAUGGAACCGAGGGCUGGUGGGGGUGCACGAGAACCCCUUUUUCCUCAUACCCCAAUGAGAGAGAGACUUUUUCACUAUCGCCCUGAAGACUUCUCGUGAACUGAUGUGGGAGGGUUCAAGGGGUGGUAGGACUUGUGUUAAUAUUGUAUAUAAUUGCUUUUUAGUUUGUAUAGUAUUUAUUGGGUAGUAAUAAAUUGUACAUAAUUCCCUUCUCCCAUA